This 71-nucleotide transfer RNA is filed under the name Dermacentor silvarum. RNAcentral describes it as "transfer RNA glycine (anticodon GCC)". It matches the Rfam family "tRNA". Rfam says of the family: Transfer RNA (tRNA) molecules are approximately 80 nucleotides in length. Their secondary structure includes four short double-helical elements and three loops (D, anti-codon, and T loops). Lineage: Eukaryota; Metazoa; Arthropoda; Arachnida; Ixodida; Ixodidae. The record is from RNAcentral.
GCGUCGGUGGUUCAGUGGUAGAAUACUCGCCUGCCACGCGGGUGGCCCGGGUUCCAUUCCCGGCCGACGCA